CCCCUAGAUGUUCUGGGCCGCACGCGCGCUACACUGAACAGUUCAACAAGUCUUAACCUUGGCCGAUAGGUUUGGGUAAUCUUUGAACGCUGUUCGUGAUUGGGAUAGACCUUUGCAAUUAUGGGUCUUCAACGAGGAAUUCCUAGUAAACGCAAGUCAUCAGCUUGCAUUGAUUACGUCCCUGCCCUUUGUACACACCGCCCGUCGCGCCUACCGAUUGAAUGGUCCGGUGAAAUCUCGGGACGGCGGCUUGGUCGCUUGCGUCCGACUGCUGAAACUUGAUUAAACCAUAUCAUUUAGAGGAAGGUGAAGUCGUAACA
Molecule: ribosomal RNA, 320 nt
Filed under: uncultured eukaryote
Lineage: Eukaryota
Description: partial 18S ribosomal RNA
Rfam family: Eukaryotic small subunit ribosomal RNA
Source: RNAcentral